This 6493-nucleotide long non-coding RNA is filed under the name Medicago truncatula (barrel medic). RNAcentral describes it as "long non-coding RNA (MTRU_LNC001481)". Lineage: Eukaryota; Viridiplantae; Streptophyta; Magnoliopsida; Fabales; Fabaceae. The record is from RNAcentral.
UAAAUCAUUUAAUUAUUUUUAUAAGACCAUAAACUUUAUACAUUAUAAAGAGAUCAAGUCAUUUACUAUUAUUUAGAUGCAAAUAGAAAGAAAAAAAAUAUGGUUGAAACUUUAAAGUUGGUUUAUGUUCUGAAUCUAUUUUAUUCCAUAUUUCUUGGCAUAAUAGUAUGUAAUACUUCUCUAAUUAAAUAUUUUGACGUUCCUUGGGAAAAAGAUAAAGAUUGUCCAAAACCUCUGAGGUUUAAUAUUAGGUGUCGUAAAGGCUUCUGUGUACGGAUCUGAAACAUACUAAUGAUAUAAAUGAGUUCUUGCUCUAGCAAGAUAAUUGUAUGAUAUAUCUUAUGUUAAAAUAUUUCAUUUGUUAACAUUUAGAUUUUAUGCAUGCACUAAAUAUUUAUUCCUCCUCCUGCUCCUCAAUACUAAUUUCACAUAAUCCUCAUCUUGAAACCAUUAAUUCGAACCAAGUCUUAUCAAAUCCAUUGUUAAUUAUGUUUCACGCCUCACUGAGAUGAGACAAUAUGAAAAUAAUAUCAUGAAUCAACAAUAAGCAGUAUCAAAAAGAAAUUAAACAAAAAAAACAACAUUUUUUUAAUGUAAAAUACGUAUAUUAUAAAUAAAAUGGUGAAAUCUCAUGCAAGAGUACAACCACAUAGUUAAGUCAAAAAAAAAAAAAAAGAGUACAACCACAUAGAAAUUAGAGUACAAGAAGUACUAAAGUCAAGUAAUAAUAAAAAACAUAGAAUCCCACACAGAAAAACAAAAGUAAGAACUAAAACACCAACGGAAAACCAACUAAACUCCUAUCAAGAACCCUCAACCACAGGCUAAAGUUUAGAGUUCGACUCGACUUUUAGUUCGUCGAACUUGGUUCAUGAACCAAAUGAGUUGAGUUUGAGCUGAAAAUUAAAUUCGUUAAAUAAAUGGCUGAGCUUCAACUAUAUAUAGUUUAACUCAUUUGAAAGUUCAACUCACUUAGUUCAUGAACCGACUUGAUUACAAAUAUAUAUUUGCAACAUGUGGCAAAUUUCAAGGGGCAACAUAGAGAGUUAGCACAAAACAAGUCCCACAUGGAAGGUCUUGUAAGCUUACAAAGGUCAACGUAAAAUAAGCGCUUGUGUUGCAUCCUUCUACGAUGUUUUUUCACUGUCAUUAAAGUGACAUACACAUUCCAUUUUUCACUUGAACAAAGUAGUUUAAUUUUUUUUAAGUUACCACUAUUACGUGAGCACUCGGUUUCUUGAACCAAUUUGUGGUUUGGAAGUGGUUUUAGGGAAUUCUAUAGAUUUGUAUGUAUAUUUAAUAUUUUCCUUUUAAAAAAUAAUUAAAUUAAAUGGUGAAAAGAUCUAAACAAUUAUCUCUUUUUUUAGGGGUGAAGAUCCUCUCAAUUUGGCAAAAUAUAUGGAGUUUUACAAGUUGGAGAGAGAUAGAAACAAAAAAUAGAUGGUGGGUCCUACCACUAAGUGGGUCCCACCAUCAUUAAUUAUAUUUUACUUUUUUCAAAAUUUUAUGUGUCUUUAUCUCUCCAAAUUGAAGAAAUGGAGAAACAUAUAAAUGGAGAUGAUCCUAACCCUGACCAUAAUGUUUUCAUAAAAACCACUUUCAAGAGGAAAAUUUAACAAUAUCCACCAACCGUAGCAGAUAUGUUAAUAUUUGUUAAAAGUGGAGAAAGAAAAGCCCAAUUUUUGCACGAAAUUUAGCCUAGGAUGGUCCUUCCCAACGACUUAGGUUUUCAGAGCCACCCAUGACAACCAAGAAUGAUUUCAUAAUAAAUAAUAAUUAUUUUAACAAUUUUGUUUUAAAAUCAAUCCAAUUUACUUUGUAAAUAUUAUGAUUCGCAUAAUUGACGUGAAUAAAAAAGUAAAAUAAAUUAUGCAAUGAAAUUUUAAAUCUACAUUUUACACGUUCAUAAUAAUGUUCUCACUCGAAUGGUGUAAUAUAUUCAUACAUGCCUUUACUAUCACGAAAGGGUAAAAAAUUAGUGAAGGAAAAGAUAAUGAAAAGUUAGCUAAAUUAUAUUUAAUUAUUAUGAUUAUUAAGCUUAUAAUAUGAUUCUAAAAUAACUUAUUGAUAUAUUUAAGAGAUAAUUAGUGAUAAAUCUAAUGUUAUGAAGGGUUUUAAAAAUUUUAUAAUGCUUAAAUCAUUUAAUUAUUUUUAUAAGACCAUAAACUUUAUACAUUAUAAAGAGAUCAAGUCAUUUACUAUUAUUUACAUGCAAAUAGAAAGAAAAAAAAUAUGGUCGAAACUUUAAAGUUAGUUUAUGUUCUGAUUCUAUUUUAUUCCAUAUUUCUUGGCAUAAUAGUAUGUAAUUCUUCUCUAAUUUCGUAAAGGCUUCUGUGUACAGAUCUGAAACAUACUAAUGAUAUAAAUGAGCUCUUGCUCUAGCAAGAUAAUUGUAUGAUAUAUCUUAUGUUAAAAUGUUUCAUUUGUUAUCAUUUAGAUUUUAUGCAUGCACUAAAUAUUUAUUCCUCCUCCUGCUCCUCAAUAUUAAUUUCACAUAAUCCUCAUCUUGAAACCAUUAAUUCAAACCAAGUCUUAUCAAAUCCAUUGUUAAUUAUGUGUCACGCCUCACUGAGAUGAGACAAUAUGAAAAUAUUAUAAUGAAUCAACAAUAAGCAGUAUCAAAAAGAAAUUAAACAAAAAAACUACAUUUUUUUAAUGUAAAAUACAUAUAUUAUAAAUAAAAAGGUGAAAUCUCAUGCAAGAGUACAACCACAUAGAAAUUAAUGUACAAGAAGUACUAAAGUCAAGCAAUAAUAAAAAACAUAGAAUCCCACCCACAGAAAAACAAAAGUAAGAACUAAAACACCAACGGAAAACCAACUAAACUCCUAUCAAGAACCCUCAACCACAGGCUAAAGUUUAGAGUUCGACUCGACUUUUAGUUCGUCGAACUUGGUUCAUGAACCAAAUAAGUUGAGUUUGAGCUGAAAAUUAAAUUCGUUAAAUAAAUGAAUGAGCUUCAACUAUAUAUAAUUUAACUCAUUUGAAAGUUAAGCUCAUUUAGUUCAUGAAUCGACUCGAUUACAAAUAUAUAUUUGCAACAUGUGGCAAAUUUCAAGGGGCAACAUAGAGAGUUAGCACAAAACAAGUCCCACAUCGAAGGUCUUGUAAGCUAACAAAGGUCAAAGUAAAAUAAGCUCUUGUGUUGCAUCCUUCUACGAUGUGUUUUCACUGUCAUUAAAGUGACAUACACAUUCCAUUUUUCACUUGAACAAAGUAGUUUAAUUUUUUUUAAGUUACCACUAUUACGUGAGCACUCGGUUUCUUGAACCAAUUUGUGGUUUGGAAGGGGUUUUUGGGAAUUCUAUAGAUUUGUAUAUCUAAUAUUUGCCUUUUAAAAAUAAUUAAAUUAAAUGGUGAAAAGAUCUAAAAAAAUAUCUCUUUUUUUACAACAAAAGAAAAUAAUUUGAAUUAUGAGUUUCAAGCUAACUAACCGAACCUAACGAGUCGAACUGAGUUGUUCAUGAACUUUUAAUGAGUCGAACUUAAGCCAAAAAAUAGUUCAUAUCGAAUUCGAGUCGAGUUUCGAGCCGAACUAUUUCUUAAAGAGUUGAGUCGAGCUCAGACAAGUUCGACACGAUUCGAUACAUUUCCAGCCCUAACCACAACCGAACAAGAGCAAGACUAGGAACAUAACCCAUCAGUCAACCAAUCCAAGACAAAUCUACCAUAAGUCACUAACGGUGUCAACAUAGAAUGUGUUCAUGAUCCCAAUUAUAGAAGGAACAAGGGUGACCACAAUGUUUUCAUAAAAACCACUUUCAAGAGGAAAAUUUAACAAUAUCCACCAACCGUAGCAGAUCAGUUAAUAUUUGUUAAAAGUGGAGAAAGAAAAGCCCAAUUUUUGCACGUAAUUUAGCCUAGGAUGGUCCUUCCCAACGACUUAGGUUUUCAGAGCCACCCAUGACAACCAAGAAUGAUUCCAUAAUAAAUAAUAAUUAUUUUAACAAUUUUGUUUUAAAAUCAAUACCAAUUUACUUUGUAAAUAUUCUGAUUCGCAUAAUUGACGUGAAUAAAAAAGUAGAAUAAAUUAUGCAAUGAAAUUUUAAAUUUACAUUUUACACGUUCAUAAUAAUGUUCUCACUCCAAUGGUGUAAUAUAUUCAUACAUACCUUUACUAUCACGAAAGGGUAAAAAAUUAGUGAAGGAAAAGAUAAUGAAAAGUUAGCUAAAUUAUAUUUAAUUAUUAUGAUUAUUAAGCUUAUUAUAUGAUUCUAAAAUAACUUAUUGAUAUAUUUAUGAGAUAAUUAGUGAUGAUUCUAAUGUUAUGAAGGGUUUUUAAAAUUUUAUAAUGCUUAAAUCAUUUAAUUAUUUUUAUAAGACCAUAAACUUUAUACAUUAUAAAGAGAUCAAGUCAUUUACUAUUAUUUAGAUGUAAAUAGAAAGAAAAAAAAAUAUGGUUGAAACUUUAAAGUUGGUUUAUGUUCUGAUUCUAUUUUAUUCCAUAUUUCUUGGCAUAAUAGUAUGUAAUUCUUCUGGAAUUACGUAUUUUGACGUUCGUUGUGAAAAAGAUAAAGAUUGUCCAAAACCUCCGAGGAUUAAUAUUAGGAUUAAUAUUAGGUGUCGUAAAGGCUUCUGUGUACAGAUCUGAAACAUACUAAUGAUAUAAAUGAGUUCUUGCUUUAACAAGAUAAUUGUAUGAUAUAUCUUAUGUUAAAAUGUUUCAUUUGUUAUCAUUUAGAUUUUAUGCAUGCACUAAAUAUUUAUUCCUCCUCCUGCUCCUCAAUACUAAUUUCACAUAAUCCUCAUCUUGAAACCAUUAAUUCAAACCAAGUCUUAUCAAAUCCAUUGUUAAUUAUGUUUCAGUCCUCACUGAGAUGAGACAAUAUGAAAAUAUUAUAAUGAAUCAACAAUAAGCAGUAUCAAAAAGAAAUUAAACAAAAAAACUACAUUUUUUUAAUGUAAAAUACAUAUAUUAUAAAUAAAAAGGUGAAAUCUCAUGCAAGAGUACAACCACAUAGAAAUUAAUGUACAAGAAGUACUAAAGUCAAGCAAUAAUAAAAAACAUAGAAUCCCACCCACAGAAAAACAAAAGUAAGAACUAAAACACCAACGGAAAACCAACUAAACUCCUAUCAAGAACCCUCAACCACAGGCUAAAGUUUAGAGUUCGACUCGACUUUUAGUUCGUCGAACUUGGUUCAUGAACCAAAUAAGUUGAGUUUGAGCUGAAAAUUAAAUUCGUUAAAUAAAUGAAUGAGCUUCAACUAUAUAUAAUUUAACUCAUUUGAAAGUUAAGCUCAUUUAGUUCAUGAAUCGACUCGAUUACAAAUAUAUAUUUGCAACAUGUGGCAAAUUUCAAGGGGCAACAUAGAGAGUUAGCACAAAACAAGUCCCACAUCGAAGGUCUUGUAAGCUAACAAAGGUCAAAGUAAAAUAAGCUCUUGUGUUGCAUCCUUCUACGAUGUGUUUUCACUGUCAUUAAAGUGACAUACACAUUCCAUUUUUCACUUGAACAAAGUAGUUUAAUUUUUUUUAAGUUACCACUAUUACGUGAGCACUCGGUUUCUUGAACCAAUUUGUGGUUUGGAAGGGGUUUUUGGGAAUUCUAUAGAUUUGUAUAUCUAAUAUUUGCCUUUUAAAAAUAAUUAAAUUAAAUGGUGAAAAGAUCUAAAAAAAUAUCUCUUUUUUUACAACAAAAGAAAAUAAUUUGAAUUAUGAGUUUCAAGCUAACUAACCGAACCUAACGAGUCGAACUGAGUUGUUCAUGAACUUUUAAUGAGUCGAACUUAAGCCAAAAAAUAGUUCAUAUCGAAUUCGAGUCGAGUUUCGAGCCGAACUAUUUCUUAAAGAGUUGAGUCGAGCUCAGACAAGUUCGACACGAUUCGAUACAUUUCCAGCCCUAACCACAACCGAACAAGAGCAAGACUAGGAACAUAACCCAUCAGUCAACCAAUCCAAGACAAAUCUACCAUAAGUCACUAACGGUGUCAACAUAGAAUGUGUUCAUGAUCCCAAUUAUAGAAGGAACAAGGGUGACCACAAUGUUUUCAUAAAAACCACUUUCAAGAGGAAAAUUUAACAAUAUCCACCAACCGUAGCAGAUCAGUUAAUAUUUGUUAAAAGUGGAGAAAGAAAAGCCCAAUUUUUGCACGUAAUUUAGCCUAGGAUGGUCCUUCCCAACGACUUAGGUUUUCAGAGCCACCCAUGACAACCAAGAAUGAUUCCAUAAUAAAUAAUAAUUAUUUUAACAAUUUUGUUUUAAAAUCAAUAUCAAUUUACUUUGUAAAUAUUCUGAUUCGCAUAAUUGACGUGAAUAAAAAAGUAGAAUAAAUUAUGCAAUGAAAUUUUAAAUUUACAUUUUACACGUUCAUAAUAAUGUUCUCACUCCAAUGGUGUAAUAUAUUCAUACAUACCUUUACUAUCACGAAAGGGUAAAAAAUUAGUGAAGGAAAAGAUAAUGAAAAGUUAGCUAAAUUAUAUUUAAUUAUUAUGAUUAUUAAGCUUAUUAUAUGAUUCUAAAAUAACUUAUUGAUAUAUUUAUGAGAUAAUU